GAUGAACGCUGGCGGCGUGCCUAAUACAUGCAAGUCGAGCGAACGGACGAGAAGCUUGCUUUUCUGAUGUUAGCGGCGGACGGGUGAGUAACACGUGGAUAACCUACCUAUAAGACUGGGAUAACUUCGGGAAACCGGAGCUAAUACCGGAUGAUAUUUUGAACCGCAUGGUUCAAAAGUGAAAGACGGUCUUGCUGUCACUUAUAGAUGGAUCCGCGCUGCAUUAGCUAGUUGGUAAGGUAACGGCUUACCAAGGCAACGAUGCAUAGCCGACCUGAGAGGGUGAUCGGCCACACUGGAACUGAGACACGGUCCAGACUCCUACGGGAGGCAGCAGUAGGGAAUCUUCCGCAAUGGGCGAAAGCCUGACGGAGCAACGCCGCGUGAGUGAUGAAGGUCUUCGGAUCGUAAAACUCUGUUAUUAGGGAAGAACAUAUGUGUAAGUAACUGUGCACAUCUUGACGGUACCUAAGCAGAAAGCCACGGCUAACUACGU
RNAcentral lists this ribosomal RNA (496 nucleotides) under uncultured bacterium. RNAcentral's name for it is "partial 16S ribosomal RNA". It matches the Rfam family "Bacterial small subunit ribosomal RNA", at positions 28 to 506 of the family's 1533-position model. The record is from RNAcentral.